AUAGCGUAUAUUAAAGUUGUUGCAGUUAAAAAGCUCGUAGUUGAACUUCAGGCCUGGCUGGAUGGUCUACCUCACGGUAUGUACUGUCUGGCUGGGUCUUACCUCUUGGUGAGCCGGCAUGCCCUUUACUGGGUGUGUUGGGGAACCAGGACUUUUACCUUGAGAAAAUUAGAGUGUUCAAAGCAGGCCUAUGCCCGAAUACAUUAGCAUGGAAUAAUAAAAUAGGACGUGCGGUUCUAUUUUGUUGGUUUCUAGAGUCGCCGUAAUGAUUAAUAGGGAUAGUUGGGGGCAUUAGUAUUCAGUUGCUAGAGGUGAAAUUCUUGGAUUUACUGAAGACUAACUAUUG
This 346-nucleotide ribosomal RNA is filed under the name uncultured eukaryote. RNAcentral describes it as "SSU rRNA". It matches the Rfam family "Eukaryotic small subunit ribosomal RNA", at positions 594 to 945 of the family's 1831-position model. The record is from RNAcentral.